Molecule: ribosomal RNA, 492 nt
Filed under: uncultured bacterium
Lineage: Bacteria
Description: partial 16S ribosomal RNA
Rfam family: Bacterial small subunit ribosomal RNA
Source: RNAcentral
AGUGAACGCUGGCGGUAGGCCUAACACAUGCAAGUCGAACGGCAGCACAGUAGGAGCUUGCUCUUACGGGUGGCGAGUGGCGGACGGGUGAGGAAUACAUCGGAAUCUACUUUUUCGUGGGGGAUAACGUAGGGAAACUUACGCUAAUACCGCAUACGACCUACGGGUGAAAGCAGGGGAUCUUCGGACCUUGCGCGAUUGAAUGAGCCGAUGUCGGAUUAGCUAGUUGGCGGGGCAAAGGCCCACCAAGGCGACGAUCCGUAGCUGGUCUGAGAGGAUGAUCAGCCACACUGGAACUGAGACACGGUCCAGACUCCUACGGGAGGCAGCAGUGGGGAAUAUUGGACAAUGGGCGCAAGCCUGAUCCAGCCAUACCGCGUGGGUGAAGAAGGCCUUCGGGUUGUAAAGCCCUUUUGUUGGGAAAGAAAAGCAGCAGGUUAAUACCCCGCUGUUCUGACGGUACCCAAAGAAUAAGCACCGGCUAACUUCGUG